This 4952-nucleotide long non-coding RNA is filed under the name Sus scrofa (pig). RNAcentral describes it as "lncRNA (ENSSSCG00000063097.1)". Lineage: Eukaryota; Metazoa; Chordata; Mammalia; Artiodactyla; Suidae. The record is from RNAcentral.
CGGCCGUAAAAAGAAAAUAAAUAAAUAAAUAAAAUGGAAGCUGUCUGCCUUCAGGGGCAAUGAACUUCCUUUUCAAUACUGUUUUCCCUCUUUUGGAACCAUGGACACAUGUCACCCCCCUUUAAAAUCCAUUCUCCUAACAUGCUGAAGCCCUUUCUUUUCUAAUGAAAGAGGGUCUUAAAAACAAUACAUCCAAGAGUUUACAUUAGUUGCCUGUAUUACCACUCCCAGAAGAAGUACAAAGAGAACCCAAAGGAAUGAAUACAAUGGUGAUAUUUCAGACACUGUUGGCUUGAUGAGGGGUCAGGGGACAAGAUAAAAACUGGGGGGCAGUGAGGUUGGAGACACACCAUCUGGUGACUAGGGAAUUAAACACUUAAUGAGCCUGUGAGUUACCUGACUCGCCUGAUAUAAUGAAUGCUUGUGGACUUGGACGCUGAAGCCUGGUGCCAGUCACGACUUAGAAGCUGGAUGGUUGGAGAGAAGGUGCUGCCUCUCUUGACCCAUUUUAUUCACUGAGCAAACAAGAAAGCUUGACCCAUGACCUUUAAAGCCCCUUCUUGUUCUCAAACAACAAACCAAAACUAAAACCAAAACUAAAAAUUAAAAAGUAAUGUUAGUUACAAAGGAGAAUUGAAAAGACGCUGAAACAACAUACUGGGGCUCCCUCUCCCUCUGCUUACGAUCUGCUUCCCUUUAUGCACUGGCUUUAUUUUCUUUCCACGGGAGGAGAAAGGAGAGAAGGAAAGGGGGUGGAGUGGGGAUGGAAGAAGUAUUCUGAGGCCUGCUGCCCAGACCUCUAGACUUGCAUCAUGUUAGUUCAGCAAGGGGAAAAAAGAGGGUCUCAGGGCUCCUGUCGUGGCUCAGCGGUAAUGAAUCUGACUCGUAUCCAUGAGGACCUGGGUUCCAUCUCUGGCCCCACUCAGUAGGCUAAGAAUCUGGUGUUGCUGUGAACUUUGGUGUGGGUUGUAGACGAGGCUCGCAUCUGGUGUUGCUGUGGCUGUGGUAUAGGCCAGCAGGCACAGCUCCAAUUUGACCCCAACACUGGGAAAUUCCACUGCCACAAAAGCAGCCCUAAAAAGCUAAAAAAAAAAAAAGGGUCUCUCUUCCAGCACUUAUAUAUAAAAUCUCCAGGAAGGAUCAUGUCUCUUUCACAUGCCCAUGCUUUAUUGGUCAAACCUAGGCCCUGUUGAGGGCAUGGGGGCGGUGAUGUGGUGAUAGGUAAUGACUUUUACUGUGAUUGUCUCCUCCAAAGAGAACCACAAAGAAGAGGAGAUGUUAUGAUCAGAAGAUGGAAUUUUUCUGGGCAGACAAAAAGAAAUAAAACAAAGAUGUUUGCUCUAUAUAAUUUGCCCCAUUUAUAACGAUAAAGAAGUUGAGACCCAGAGAAGUUAAGCAACUUACCCAAGAGACACAUAGCAUGCAGCUGUCACAGCCAGAUUCAGUCUUAGGUCCAUCUACGUCUGAGGCCCAGGCUCCUUCCACAGUGCCUCCGUGCAUCCUGGUAGUCACAAAACUAUUUUCUCUGCUUUACUUUAAAUGGCAAUUCUUUGUCAUCGUUAUCUUCUGAACUAGAUCAAGAGACGGCUUUUAUUCAUUUGUAGGUCACUUGCUAUUACUGGAAAACUCUUCUAAUGAACCAGUAACUGCUCAACAAGGCACAGGAGAGGGCACCACAGAUAUGGGGCAGGGCAGUCACUGAGCAGGUACUGCCAACAGUGUCAUUUCAUACCAUGAUUUCGAGGGUAGAUAGGACCAAGAGGGAAAUGGGGGGAGGGGUGUCCAACAGAGUCGUAAUGGUCUUAGGUUCCCAUGAGCUGCCCUAAUUGUCUAAGAAGUUGAGCUGUGUGAUAAUGAAAGGUGGGCUUUUAAGGAAGACACUCCCCAAACCUGACAGAUGAUUAAAAGGGUUGGGGGGCACUUAUGUGCAAUGAGUAGGACAUCUCUAUUAAUUGUGCAGAAGAUCUAGAACUUAUCACCACCACAGGAGACACCAGGAACAGAGAGGAUGUCCAGUUUGCUGCUUGUAAGAGCUGCUCACGAAACAAGGACACAAGUACCCUCCCCCCACCCCCAUUAUUUUAUUUACUUAUUUAUUUUCUUUUUUGGCUGCCCCAUGACAUAAGGUGUUCCUGGCCAGGGAUCAGAUCUAAACCUCAGUUGUGACCUAAACUGCAGCUGCAGCAAUGCCAGAUCCUUUAACCCACUGCCGCUGGGCUGGGGAUUGAACCUGUGUCCUGGCACUGCAGAGACACCAAUGAUCCCAUUGCAACAUAGUGGGAACUCCCUACCCCCCAUUACUGCUUGACAUCUAUCCAACCCACACCAUCUCCAUCCUUAAAAGUUGAGCCCUGCUUGUGCUCAGUGUUCCUGGCCCCAGUCAGGGCCUCUUGCUUCUGUCAACAAAGUCAGCCUCAGAACUGGUCCUUUCCUGUAACAAGCGGCAAAAUUGGAGUGAGUUGGCAUGAACAGUGGCAGAAUAGAACUGGUCCUGUUCUGGAAGGAGAAAGAGGAUAGCUCUAGUUUGAUGCCCCAACAUCCUUUGGUUUGUUCACAUUUAAUGGAAAAGGGUAGAUUUGAAGGGUUUUAGUAACCAGAUUGUUCCUGCAGCUCUGAGUGGACAUGGGGAAUCUUAUGACAACAUAACAGGACUGGGAGGAUAAGACCUUAAGUAGCCUCAGAAUGACUGCUGUAAAGCAUGUGGGUGUGUGCACGUGUGCAUACAUGGGUAUGUGCAAGCGGUGGUGUGUAUAUAUAUACACAUGGGUAUAUAUGUAGAGAUCAGAGGGUAAGCCAGCCUUAAUUUUUUUCUUUUUUCUUUUUUACUUUUUUAAAAUUAAAGUUUAGUUGAGUUACAACAUUGUGCCAAUUUCUGCUGUAUAGCAAAGUGACCUAGUCCUACAUAUAUACAUGUGUGUGUGUGUGUAUAUAUAUACACACAUUGCCUUUCUUAUACAUCUUCCAUCAUGGUCUAUCCCAAGAGACUGGAUAUAGUUCCUUAUGCUGUACUGUAGGACCUCCUUGCUCAUCCAUUCUACAUGUAACAGUUUGCAUCUACUAACCCCAAACUCCCAGUCCCUUCCACUCCCUCCCACUCCCCCUUGGCCACCACAAGUCUGUUUGUAUCAGAAUGGAUUUUUUUUUCAAUUAUAAGUAGAGCUAUUAAUUAUUAAGCAUUGAUGGUAGCCAGAUACUCCAGAGGAGUGUCUUGUUAUCUUACUGAAUCCUGUCUUAGUUUGGGUUCCCCCAAAGCAGAGCCCAAGAACAGGACUUGAGGGCUAGGAGUUCCUUGGGAGGUGGUCUCAGGAGGCAGUGGGAAGAAUGAGACAGGGGAAGCAAGACAGGUCAGUGUAAGGUGAGUUACUGAGGCUGCCUGCCUCUGAGGGCAAUGGACUACCAGAUUCCUCCAAGCCCUCCUGGGAAGAUGGGAAUGCCUGAUCGAACUGUCUGCACUCAGAAUCAGGGCUGUAGGGUGUUUGUCAUCCUGUUCCUGCUGCCUUUGGUUGGAGGUUCCUCCCUGGGACAGGUGUCCAAGCAUCACAGAGGGCACCAUGCUCUGUGCCCCGAGGACGCCUGCACCUGCCUGCACAGCGUCCCCUCUGAGACAGGCUGCUGUGGGUCCUCAGCACAGGAUGAGGAGGAAUCAACCAUUAUUCCUAUUGUACACAUAAGGAACUGGAUCUUUUCCAGCUGGAAAGUGGCAAAGCCAGAGCAGAAACCCAGGUCAGGAUGGUCAGUACUCGGCUGCUGACAUUUCAGAAGUCUCAGGACAGAUCUCAAAGUGGAACGUUUCUUGAGGACCAUGACAUAUCAGACAACUCAAUUUCAUGGCCCUCAAUGACCCACACCUUGGCCAGACCUGGGGAGACCCCAAAGUGUGGGGGUGUUGGCCUGGCUCCUCAGGGCUUCUUGACUGGGGGCUCCCAGAGCCAUCCAGCAUCGCCCUUCUUCCUUCAUAUUGUUCCAAGUCAAACCCCAAAUUCCUGGGCUGGAACAGAAAACCAGCUGGGCCCCCAAAGCCUGCCAGAACAAGUUCGGGUGCCAGGGCUGCCAGGAGCUUUUCAUUUCACUUGGUCCCCUCGUCACUCAUCAUGGGAUCCUGUCCAUAUCCUUGCCUUGUGGGCAUCCGGCCUUUGCUCAUUCACUUCCUUCAUCGAGGAGCUCAUUACCUCCCUUCUAUUUCCAACAACUCCCACUGUAUUUUCCUAACUAAUCCCCCAAGAUACCCCCAGGGGCAAGAAAUGAUUGGUGGGUAAAUAAGUUUGGAAAAAGGCUGCUUGCGAUAAUAUUUACUUAGAGAUUUAUAUGACAAUAGUAGAUUCUGGGCUCUAAGAAACACAGCCAUUGAGAACUUCUUUAACGUUGCCAAACUGAGAUUUAUUUGAUUAUGGAACAAGGAUCUCCUACAAAGCGCCCCAGAACCCUGUAUGUCUUGGAAGAGCUGAGUUGUCAAGUUUUUCCUGAGGUUGGAAUCUCUGCCUGAAGGUUCUUCCUCCUGGCUUCUUGGAUAAGAUCUGAGGUACAAAGACCAAGCCUGGCCCCUGCACAGAUGAGAUGAUCAGAUCUAACCCUUACUGAGCAUGUAGGUGGAUCCAGGCAUUGUGCUGAGUAUGUUACCCAGGUUACCCCUUAACCUUAGCCUUGGUUUAACAGAUGAAAAAAAUGGAGUCUCAGAGGGGUUAACUGAUGUCGCACAGCACUGUGGCAAAACCAUCAUUAAAUAUGAUACUGGGAAAAACACUUCAAAGGAGCUUCUGUCAUGGCUCAGCAGUAGCAAACCUGACUAGUAUUCAUAAGGACACAGGUUUGAUCCUUGGCCUCCCUCAGUGGGUUAAGGACCCAGUGUUGCUGAGAGCUGUGGUGUAGGUCACAGAUGCGGCUGGAAUCCCGAGUUGCUGUGGCUGUGGCUCUGAUUCAAUCCCUAGCUGGGAACUUCCAUAUGCCACAGGUAG